Molecule: long non-coding RNA, 1791 nt
Filed under: Marmota monax (woodchuck)
Lineage: Eukaryota; Metazoa; Chordata; Mammalia; Rodentia; Sciuridae
Source: RNAcentral
CACUCUACCACCCAGAACUCACAGGGAGCAUGGCCAGGGGGGGAAUGCGUAACUUCAGACUCCAUUUCCUCCUCUAGUGGCCACACCCAGGAUAUGGGAACCCUCCCUCUGAAUGGGUUGUGGGUGUGUGGGCCACACAGAGGGGCUUCUUCCAGAGGGACUCAUGGAGGGUCUUUGAGAUGACUGCUUGAAUUAGGGGAGUAUUUCUGCAUCAACUUGGAGGUAAGAUCAGUAGGAAUAUGGCCACCCAAAUCCCAAGAAGAUGCACCCCUCCACCUACAUCUGUCAUUUCCUGAAAACUGGGAGGAAUCAGACUUAACGUGGCAAGAGCUGUCAGUGUCCUCCUGGCCCUGCAUUUCCCAGAAUUCUUCAGGUGAAAACAUUCUGAAGGCCACAUUCCAUAUUACAGAAUAGCAUACCUAUGGCUUCAUCUCAUUAGAUAUGAGUUGCUUUCAGAAUCAGACUCCACUAUGUUCUAAUAUUGAGGGUACCAGGCAGAGCCAUUUAUGGGGGGAAAACUUACAUUGUGAAAAUACUGUACAUUAGUGAAUAUUGUUAUUAUUGUAUAAGGGUCUAGGGAAAGACCUUUGAUUUUAGCUGUAGAAUGUUUUUAGCUGUAGAAUGCAUUGAUCUAACUUUCUAUUCAGUCGGGGAAGAAAGCUUAAAAAUUGUUAAAGUAGUUCAACCCCCUUGUUAAAGGAAACUGACACUUAGAGGAGGGUAUGACUUACCCAUGAUCAAAUAACUAUUUUUAAGUUGCUCCAGGAGCUGAGGCUGAGGCAGAAGGAUCACAAGUUCAAAGCCAGCCUCAGCAACUUAGUGAGCCCCUGAGCAACUUAAAGAGAUCCUAUCUCAAAAUAAAACAUAAAAGGGGUUGGGGAUGUGGUUAGCACUCUUGGGUUCAAUCCCUGGUACAAAAGAAAAAAACUAAACAAACAAGCAAAUAAGUCACUCCAGGGCUGGACAAGAAUUUGGACUUAUAGUCCAGUGCCCUUUUCAAUAUAAAACACUUAAGCUCAGACCCUAUUUUCCGUUUCCCUGAUGACUGACCCAAAUUUAAACAGAGCAUGUCUAGAUCUGGAACCCCUUCCUUUUUUUCCCUGGGUUGUAGCCCCACUGACCCAUCAGAAGAAGGAGGGGGAAGGACAUUCAGCCUGUGUCUCAAUGUGAAUCAACCCCUCCCCUCUGGUGGCCCUGGCCUUUGGUCUCUGCCUCAGCCCAAUAUAAUGCUGUUGUUGCCUUAUCAAUAAAGUACCUUGAUCUUUGUAAUGUCUGCACUUCCCUAGCUCUCCCUCUGACCCUGCCCUCUCUUGGGAACUCAAGGGGACCCCCUGGGAACAACAGUUAUUCAGUCCAGGGGCAAAUAACCAGGACUCCAAAAGGGAAGUCUAGGAGCUGGGAGGAAAAGAAAAAAGAAACAAGUGAAGAUUUAGGGAUCUGAAUUGGGAGAAAACUGUAUUGUCUAGUGUGUUAGAAUGAAAGUGUGAAGGUGGACAUGUAUAAAGCGAAAACUUUUAAAGUAUAUAUUAGAAGUGAAGGAAAGCACACACCAAAGUGGAAAAUAAACAAGAUUCCAGGCAUAGGGAGAUCCUUCUGCUGGCUAACCGGAAGCAAGUAGGGGGAAUCCAAGUGAGGCCAACAGAAGAGGUUGGAAUGUAUGACAAAUUUGGUGAAAGUCAGACAUUAAGCAGCAGAAGAAAGCUUUAAAGGGUGCCUCCCAACUGAUUUCCAAAUAGAAAAAAAAAAAAAAGUUUGCCAGAAAUUGUCAAGUAAACCAAUGGGGGAAAAAAA